This 498-nucleotide ribosomal RNA is filed under the name uncultured bacterium. Its description in RNAcentral is "partial 16S ribosomal RNA". It matches the Rfam family "Bacterial small subunit ribosomal RNA", at positions 30 to 523 of the family's 1533-position model. The record is from RNAcentral.
AUUGAACGCUGGCGGCAUGCCUUACACAUGCAAGUCGAACGGUAACAGGUCUCCGGAUGCUGACGAGUGGCGAACGGGUGAGUAAUACAUCGGAACGUGCCUAGUAGUGGGGGAUAACUACUCGAAAGAGUGGCUAAUACCGCAUGAGAUCUACGGAUGAAAGCAGGGGAUCGCAAGACCUUGUGCUACUAGAGCGGCCGAUGGCAGAUUAGGUAGUUGGUGGGAUAAAAGCUUACCAAGCCGACGAUCUGUAGCUGGUCUGAGAGGACGAUCAGCCACACUGUGACUGAGACACGGCCCAGACUCCUACGGGAGGCAGCAGUGGGGAAUUUUGGACAAUGGGCGAAAGCCUGAUCCAGCAAUGCCGCGUGCAGGAUGAAGGCCUUCGGGUUGUAAACUGCUUUUGUACGGAACGAAAAGCCCCGGGUUAAUACCCUGGGGUCAUGACGGUACCGUAAGAAUAAGCACCGGCUAACUACGUGCCAGCAGCCGCCGUAA